UGGGGAAUUUUGGACAAUGGGCGAAAGCCUGGUCCAGCAAUGCCGCGUGUGUGAAGAAGGCCUUCGGGCUGUAAAGCACUUUUGUCCGGAAAGAAAUCCUUGGCUCUAAUACAGUCGGGGGAUGACGGUACCGGAAGAAUAAGCACCGGCUAACUACGUGCCAGCAGCCGCGGUAAUACGUAGGGUGCAAGCGUUAAUCGGAAUUACUGGGCGUAAAGCGUGCGCAGGCGGUUUGCUAAGACCGAUGUGAAAUCCCCGGGCUCAACCUGGGAACUGCAUUGGUGACUGGCAGGCUAGAGUAUGGCAGAGGGGGGUAGAAUUCCACGUGGAGCAGUGAAAUGCGUAGAGAUGUGGAGGAAUACCGAUGGCGAAGGCAGCCCCCUGGGCCAAUACUGACGCUCAUGCACGAAAGCGUGGGGAGCAAACAGGAUUAGAUACCCUGGUAGUCCACGCCCUAAACGAUGUCAACUAGUUGUUGGGGAUUCAUUUCCUUAGUAACGUAGCUAACGCGUGAAGUUGACCGCCUGGGGAGUACGGUCGCAAGAUUAAAACUCAAAUGAAUUGACGGGGUCAUAGCUGUUUCCU
RNAcentral lists this ribosomal RNA (585 nucleotides) under uncultured bacterium. RNAcentral describes it as "partial 16S ribosomal RNA". It matches the Rfam family "Bacterial small subunit ribosomal RNA", at positions 355 to 1375 of the family's 1533-position model. The record is from RNAcentral.